This 345-nucleotide unclassified non-coding RNA is filed under the name soil metagenome. RNAcentral describes it as "partial contains 5.8S ribosomal RNA, internal transcribed spacer 2, and large subunit ribosomal RNA". The stretch from base 1 to 120 matches the Rfam family "5.8S ribosomal RNA", at positions 35 to 154 of the family's 154-position model. The record is from RNAcentral.
GAUGAAGAACGCAGCGAAAUGCGAUAAGUAAUGUGAAUUGCAGAAUUCAGUGAAUCAUCGAAUCUUUGAACGCACAUUGCGCCCGCCAGAAUUCUGGCGGGCAUGCCUGUUCGAGCGUCAUUUCAACCCUCGAGCUCCCCUUGGGGAGCCCGGCGUUGGGGACCGGCAGUAACACCGCCGGCCCCGAAAUGGAGUGGCGGCCCCGCCCGCGGCGACCUCUGCGUAGUAAAUCCACUCGCACCGGGACCCGGGCACGGCCACGCCGUAAAACACCCAACUUCCGAAUGUUGACCUCGAAUCAGGUAGGAAUACCCGCUGAACUUAAGCAUAUCAAUAAGCGGAGGA